GACCAUCUCAGUUCGGAUUGUAGUCUGNAACCCGACUACAUGAAGCUGGAAUCGCUAGUAAUCGCGGAUCAGCACGCCGCGGUGAAUACGUUCCCGGGCCUUGUACACACCGCCCGUCACACCAUGGGAGCCGGAAAUGCCCGAAGUCAGUGACCCAACCGCAAGGAGGGAGCUGCCGAAGGUGGAGCUGGUAACUGGGGUGAAGUCGUAACAAGGUACC
RNAcentral lists this ribosomal RNA (220 nucleotides) under uncultured bacterium. RNAcentral describes it as "partial 16S ribosomal RNA". It matches the Rfam family "Bacterial small subunit ribosomal RNA", at positions 1281 to 1500 of the family's 1533-position model. The record is from RNAcentral.